UCCCUGGUGGUCCAGUGGUUAAGACUCUACGCUCGUGAUGCAGGGGGCCCGGGUUCGAUCCCUGGUCAGGGAA
Non-coding RNA from Lagenorhynchus albirostris (white-beaked dolphin), 73 nucleotides. The record is from the annotation of a RefSeq genome assembly. NCBI's taxonomy places the organism in Eukaryota, Metazoa, Chordata, Mammalia, Artiodactyla, Delphinidae.